UGGGGAAUAUUGGACAAUGGGCGCAAGCCUGAUCCAGCCAUGCCGCGUGAGUGAUGAAGGCUCUAGGGUUGUAAAGCUCUUUCACCGGUGAAGAUAAUGACGGUAACCGGAGAAGAAGCCCCGGCUAACUUCGUGCCAGCAGCCGCGGUAAUACGAAGGGGGCUAGCGUUGUUCGGAUUUACUGGGCGUAAAGCGCACGUAGGCGGACUUUUAAGUCAGGGGUGAAAUCCCGGGGCUCAACCCCGGAACUGCCUUUGAUACUGGAAGUCUUGAGUAUGGUAGAGGUGAGUGGAAUUCCGGGUGUAGAGGUGAAAUUCGUAGAUAUUCGGAGGAACACCAGUGGCGAAGGCGGCUCACUGGACCAUUACUGACGCUGAGGUGCGAAAGCGUGGGGAGCAAACAGG
This 404-nucleotide ribosomal RNA is filed under the name Actinomycetes bacterium. RNAcentral describes it as "Actinobacteria bacterium partial 16S ribosomal RNA". It matches the Rfam family "Bacterial small subunit ribosomal RNA", at positions 355 to 776 of the family's 1533-position model. The record is from RNAcentral. Lineage: Bacteria; Bacillati; Actinomycetota; Actinomycetes.